RNAcentral lists this ribosomal RNA (484 nucleotides) under uncultured bacterium. Its description in RNAcentral is "partial 16S ribosomal RNA". It matches the Rfam family "Bacterial small subunit ribosomal RNA", at positions 30 to 507 of the family's 1533-position model. The record is from RNAcentral.
AUUGAACGCUGGCGGCAGGCCUAACACAUGCAAGUCGAGCGGAUGAAGGGAGCUUGCUCCUGGAUUCAGCGGCGGACGGGUGAGUAAUGCCUAGGAAUCUGCCUGGUAGUGGGGGAUAACGUCCGGAAACGGGCGCUAAUACCGCAUACGUCCUGAGGGAGAAAGUGGGGGAUCUUCGGACCUCACGCUAUCAGAUGAGCCUAGGUCGGAUUAGCUAGUUGGUGGGGUAAAGGCCUACCAAGGCGACGAUCCGUAACUGGUCUGAGAGGAUGAUCAGUCACACUGGAACUGAGACACGGUCCAGACUCCUACGGGAGGCAGCAGUGGGGAAUAUUGGACAGUGGGCGAAAGCCUGAUCCAGCCAUGCCGCGUGUGUGAAGAAGGUCUUCGGAUUGUAAAGCACGUUAAGUUGGGAGGAAGGGCAGUAAGUUAAUACCUUGCUGUUUUGACGUUACCAACAGAAUAAGCACCGGCUAACUUCGCG